CAGCAACCACUGUAGCAUUGUUGAUGGCAUUGUUGAGACCACUAAUGUGGAGCUUCUUCACCUUCUUUGCAAUUUUCCGUACUUUGAAGCCUGUCUGUCGACUUUGUUGGAGUUGGGACUCCACAUCAUGUCUUAUAUCACUGACAGUCUCCUUGAGUUGCUUAGCAUUACUUGGAGGCCUUCCGUGAUCGUUGGAAUGGGUAGCUCCGGCCACCUUCAAAAUGAGAAGUUGGGACUGCACAUCAUGUCUUAUAUCACUGACAGUCUGCUUAAGUUGCUUUGCAUUACUUGGAGGCUUUCCGUGAUCUUUGGAAUGGGUAGCUCCGGCCACCUUCA
Molecule: long non-coding RNA, 336 nt
Filed under: Nicotiana benthamiana
Lineage: Eukaryota; Viridiplantae; Streptophyta; Magnoliopsida; Solanales; Solanaceae
Description: long non-coding RNA (NBEN_LNC021077)
Source: RNAcentral